GUCCCUUCGUAGGCCCAAGGGCAGCCCUUCAGUAGGACCCUAUACCCUUCCAACUCACUCAUUCUUCACUCUUCUGUUUUCCAGAGCUGCCCUCUUCCUCAAACCCUCUAUCCUUCAGCAAGGCUCUGCUAGGGCACAGUCCUCUUCCAUCUUGAGGUAGCAAAGAUCGACCCUAUACUUCCUGCUCACUGCUCUAGCCCUUGGAGCUGAAAUACUUCUUAGUUGCGGGUCUAUUUCGUUUUAGCAUCUAAGCGAGAUGAGAGGGAGGUUCGUGAUGGAUCCGGGAGACGCAGCGGUGCGGCCUAGACUUCCCUGUCUGGAUGUCUUAGGAAUAGUUUCAGGGCCAUGAGGCCUUUUGUAUUAGUUGCCUUAGUGGCAACCUUUUUGCAAAACUGUUGCACCCCUUUUUAAAUUUCCUUUUGCUUAGGACUAUGUGGUAUGCCUAAGUUUCUUUUAAGUGACUCUGGAUGACUGUAAUAGUUACCCUUCUUACGUUUCAUGUUUAUUCGA
Vigna unguiculata (cowpea) is the source of this 510-nucleotide long non-coding RNA. The record is from RefSeq and is a predicted model, not a curated record. NCBI's taxonomy places the organism in Eukaryota, Viridiplantae, Streptophyta, Magnoliopsida, Fabales, Fabaceae.